RNAcentral lists this ribosomal RNA (859 nucleotides) under uncultured crenarchaeote. RNAcentral's name for it is "bacterial SSU rRNA". It matches the Rfam family "Archaeal small subunit ribosomal RNA", at positions 1 to 880 of the family's 1478-position model. The record is from RNAcentral. Lineage: Archaea; Thermoproteati; Thermoproteota.
GCGCACGGGACAUUUUUAGAAAAAACGAAUGAUGACUAGCCUGCGAGUCUUUGUAGUAUACAAGGCAGACGGCUCAGUAACACGUAGCCAAUCUAACCUAUGGAUGGGGAUAACCUCGGGAAACUGAGAAUAAUACCCAAUAGAUCAUUAUGCCUGGAAUGGUUUAUGAUUAAAAUGAUUUUUCGCCAUAGGAUGGGACUGCGAUCUAUCAGCUUGUUGGUGAGGUAAUGGCCCACCAAGGCUAUUACAGAUACGGGCUCUGAGAGGAGAAGCCCGGAGAUGGGUACUGAGACACGGACCCAGGCCCUAUGGGGCGCAGCAGGCGAGAAAACUUUGCAAUGUGCGAAAGCACGACAAGGUUAAUCCGAGUGUUUUCUGCUAAAGAAAUCUUUUGUCAGUCCUAAAAACACUGAUGAAUAAGGGGUGGGCAAGUUCUGGUGUCAGCCGCCGCGGUAAAACCAGCACCUCAAGUGGUCAGGAGGAUUAUUGGGCCUAAAGCAUCCGUAGCCGGCUGUGUAAGUUUUCGGUUAAAUCUAUAUGCUCAACAUAUAGGCUGCCGAGAAUACUGCACAGCUAGGGAGUGGGAGAGGUAGACGGUACUCGGUAGGAAGGGGUAAAAUCCUUUGAUCUAUUGAUGACCACCUGUGGCGAAUGCGGUCUACCAGAACACGUCCGACGGUGAGGGAUGAAAGCUGGGGGAGCAAACCGGAUUAGAUACGCGGGUAGUCCCAGCUGUAAACUAUGCAGACUCAGUGAUGCAUUGGCUCGUGGCCAAUGCAGUGACGCAAGGAAGCCGUUAAGUUUGCCGCCUGGGAAGUACGUACGGCAGUAUGAAACUCAAUGAAUUGACGGAAUCACU